UAAAAGGCGAUGGAGUUCGCCUGUAACCGUUUAUGGAGAAAUUUAAUCCGUAGACUGAUGACUCCUGUU
Molecule: non-coding RNA, 69 nt
Filed under: uncultured Dialister sp.
Lineage: Bacteria; Bacillati; Bacillota; Negativicutes; Veillonellales; Veillonellaceae
Description: Fluoride riboswitch
Rfam family: Fluoride riboswitch aptamer (crcB RNA motif)
Source: RNAcentral